RNAcentral lists this ribosomal RNA (479 nucleotides) under uncultured bacterium. Its description in RNAcentral is "bacterial SSU rRNA". It matches the Rfam family "Bacterial small subunit ribosomal RNA", at positions 32 to 524 of the family's 1533-position model. The record is from RNAcentral.
AUCAACGCUGGCGGCGUGCCUCAGACAUGCAAGUCGAACGAUUAAAGCUCUCUUCGGAGAGUGCAUAAAGUGGCGCACGGGUGAGUAACACGUAAGUAAUCUACCUUCGAGUGGGGAAUAACGUCCGGAAACGGACGCUAAUACCGCAUAACGCAGCGGCAUCGCAAGAUGACAGUUGUUAAAGAUUUAUCGCUUGAAGAGGAGCUUGCGGCAGAUUAGCUUGUUGGUAAGGUAACGGCUUACCAAGGCUACGAUCUGUAUCCGGUCUAAGAGGACGGUCGGACACACUGACACUGAAUAACGGGUCAGACUCCUACGGGAGGCAGCAGUCGGGAAUUUUGGGCAAUGGGGGAAACCCUGACCCAGCAACGCCGCGUGAAGGAUGAAGUAUUUCGGUAUGUAAACUUCGAAAGAAUAGGAAGAAUUAAUGACGUACUAUUUAUAGGUCCGGCUAACUACGUGCCAGCAGCCGCGGUAAU